UACAACUCAAACACAGGAGUCUCCACCAUCCUGGUACUCUUAGACUUUACCGCUGCCUUCAACACUAUUGACAACUCAAUCCUCUUCUCACGCUUGGAACAGUGUGUAGGAAUUAAAGGCCCCUGGACUUCAGCCGUUAGUACAGAGGCCCGUGGUGGUGGACCAGGACGGGGCUGUGUGGACACUGCUCUGUGGAACCGUGAGCACUGGCGCUUGGUUCUGACUGAUCU
Molecule: long non-coding RNA, 230 nt
Organism: Perca fluviatilis (European perch)
Lineage: Eukaryota; Metazoa; Chordata; Actinopteri; Perciformes; Percidae
Exons: 3
Source: RefSeq, a predicted model, not a curated record